Long non-coding RNA from Pyrus x bretschneideri (Chinese white pear), 1094 nucleotides. RefSeq lists it as uncharacterized. Lineage: Eukaryota; Viridiplantae; Streptophyta; Magnoliopsida; Rosales; Rosaceae. The transcript has 3 exons. The record is from RefSeq and is a predicted model, not a curated record.
GGGGCGGGUCGGAUACAUAUGGUUCGGGGUGGGUACGAGACGGGUCUUAAAAUUGUAAAACACAAACGGGACGGGCCGGGACGGGUUCAAGAAAUUAACUGGGCCGGGCGGGUCCAAAAGGCCCAAGAAACAGGACCCUGGCCAGACCCGUUUCUCCCAAGCCCACUCAAUUUUCUGGUCCAAAAGUCCAAGUAUUGCGUUGGUUUUGUGCAGUACAUUAGUACUUGUACUACAUUUCACUUAUUUCUUUCACUCAUUUCAUCCUUUUUUUUUUUUUACUGUUUCUUUCUUUAUUUUUGUUUUAUGUUUUUCACUCAUUUCACUUUUUUUUUUUCCCACUCAGACCCUCUUUUUCUCCAUCCCAAGAGACCCACGAUCCCAAACUCCAUUAAGGACAAGAAGAUUGAGGACUCAAUCGAGAGACUGCCAUCCAGUGGUUGGACAACAACUAGUUAUCGGAUGUCAAUGAGUUCGAAGACAAGACAGAAUUGGAGAGCAUCUGCAACCCAAUCACAAGAACCUUUUGGUCGAUGAGUAGGAAGUGGAAAUCACAAGGGAAUUGAUUGAAAUUGCUUAGAUUCAGAAACCCUAAGAUCUUGCGGUGGUUGUUUUGAUGGAACCGCUGAUAACGAUGUUGUUCGAAGAAGCGAAUCUUCGAAUGAGGAGAACAAAGAGGAAAGAUCGCCAGACUUGAGGCGUGAGUGAAAGAUUCGGACUCGUGAGGAUCCGUAAAAACUAGCCCAUUUCAAAAGGGCCGAGUUAGGUUCGGAUCCUAUUUUGAAAAAUCCAAAACCCACACUACCCGUCCCGUUGUAUUUACAAACAGAUCCAGUCUAGUUCCUUCAAUUUUAGGUUCGGCUUGGGCAGCCCGUGCCCAUCCCUACUUUCGACAGAUGAAUUUUAUUAGAGGUGGAAUUGACGUCCAAUAUCACAGGUGUUUUCUGACAGCAUAACCCAAUUACGUCAAAUCCAUUAAUUUGAUUAUUUAAUAAAUGGCUCCCACAGUACACCAAUCACGAACCCCACCCAACCAAUUUACACAAUUUUUGUAACAGUAGGUCCCACAAUAUAUAAUAAAAAAGAAAUUUGACUCA